UACGGGGGGGGCAAGCGUUGUUCGGAAUUACUGGGCGUAAAGGGCUCGUAGGUGGCCAACUAAGUCAGACGUGAAAUCCCUCGGCUUAACCGGGGAACUGCGUCUGAUACUGGAUGGCUUGAGUUCGGGAGAGGGAUGCGGAAUUCCAGGUGUAGCGGUGAAAUGCGUAGAUAUCUGGAGGAACACCGGUGGCGAAGGCGGCAUCCUGGACCGGCACUGACACUGAGGAGCGAAAGCAUGGGGAGCGAAUGGG
This 253-nucleotide ribosomal RNA is filed under the name uncultured bacterium. RNAcentral describes it as "partial 16S ribosomal RNA". It matches the Rfam family "Bacterial small subunit ribosomal RNA", at positions 524 to 776 of the family's 1533-position model. The record is from RNAcentral.